Long non-coding RNA from Cyprinus carpio carpio, 1403 nucleotides. The record is from Ensembl. Lineage: Eukaryota; Metazoa; Chordata; Actinopteri; Cypriniformes; Cyprinidae.
AUGAGUCACACUCCCAAGAACAUGAGAUUGUUUUCAGCAUGCAAUGCAUCAGUGGGUUCCAAUGUUGUUUGGGUCCCAGCGUUCACUGGUAUAUCUUCUUUUGUGUUCAGCAGAAAUCAUACAGGCUUGGAAUGGCAUGAAGGAAUCACCUUUGCUCCCAUAAAGCUUAAUGAAUACGCUAAUCCUGAUAACUAUCAGAAACGGGAGGCCAUUUUCCUGCCAACACAUGUCUUUUUCGGCAUUAUCCAGGGGUUGGAGGAAAGAAAUAGCGAGUGACCGAGAAGAACUGAAGAGAAGCUUUCAUGAAUAAUGAAAUGAGAGGAGGAGAGGGGGCAAUCUUUCAUUCACCGUGCCUUAUUACAUAGAUAAAGUGCCUUUUGAGGUGCAUUCUAAUGCGCCAAUAUAAUGCGAAACAUGAAUGGAGUAAGAGGGAUAAUCGCCAGCUCUUCUUUUCAUGUUCCGGUGGAAGGACAAGCACUGAGUCCCUUUGUUCUCUGGAAUGGCGGGACGCGGUUGAAGAAAAGCGUCUGAUUUUAAGGAUAUGUUUAAUAGACUGUGGGGUAUAGCUGUCAUGUCAGGAGAGCAUCCCUGCAUGCAGUUUAGCAGCGGGGACGUCGCUGUUUUGUCCUUGUUCUACACAGCAAGGCAUCUCGUGUGUUGAAGUUGGAAUCGUUAGACACGGAGCCGAGGGCGGGAGGUUCAGGUUACGUGUUUGGAAUCAGCCUUCUGACUAUGAAUAGAACAAUGACUGGAGAGAGAGAGAUGAGCAAGGGAGGAUGGUUUGCUUUUGUGUGCACAUAUGUGGUGUAUUUAUGCUUAUGGUCCACAGAAAGGGUUCACACCAAGAACAAUAACUAAAAAGAAAACUAGUGUUCACACCAAUGGACGAUAGUGUUCUGUUUAAUCUAAACUUUUUUUGGCGUUUGCCGUUUCCAAUGCUCGAGCUCUUUAAUGUCAAGUACAUUCUAACUGGCUAUCAAUGUUUUUAUUGUUUAUCGCCUGGAAAAAAUGUGAUUGUGUCAAUUCUUCUGUGUCAAUAUCGUCACUGUUGUAGUGUUGACUUACCUGUUCUUGUAGAACAGACCUUAGUGUAACGUCUCGGGUACAAAUAAUGAAGGAGAAAAUCCAAAAAAUGACUCAAAAAACUGAAAAUGUGUAACAAACAAGUCUGAAGUCUGUCCCUCACAGCCUAAUUGUUAUCCAUAUUAAAUUCAAUACGACAUCUAACCUGAUUAAAGUCUAUUUGAAUGAUUGUUAAUGGGUUUAUUGUUAUAGUUAUCAUCUGUGAGCCGUAAGUCUGUUCUAAAACUAUCAAGAAAGCAUUUCUAUGAUCACUUCUAUAAGUUCUAAGAUACCUAAUUGUCGGUAAUUUAAUACCAAAGUAAGAAAACACAAGUAUAGUG